GAUAGCAAAGACAGCUUGACGUAUGGUCAGGCGAUGCUGAGCUUCGGCUUUUUCGAAGGCUCGUCUCUCCGCCUUUCUGAUUUUUAGAAAUUCAACAUGAGGGGAGGCGAUAAUGAAAAAAAUGGAAAUCGGUACUAGAAUUAGAACAAAUGAAGAUAGGCAAAAAUUUAAAAAAGAAAUUAUUUUAAAGGGGGGGGGUGUGUGUGCAGGAGAGGCGCAGCCCUCCGGGACGAGGACAGACGGUCGGGCGGCGAGGGGAGGAGCCGAGGAGUAGCCUCCCGGGAGAGUCCUGUUUACACUUGAGGAUCCCAAACCGCUUAGCAGAGGAAAGGGUCAUUCUGGGGAUCGAACCCAGGGCUUUGUGCAUGCCAGUCACACGCCUCGCCACUGCGCUGUUAGUCCAGCCUGCAGCCUGCCUCUCUGCCCACAGCCAACCCCUGCAAUUUGUAAUUAGAAUGUCAGAGCCGAGCCCCAGCUGCUGCUUUCCUUCCUCCAGGCGGCUGCUGUGCACUUCACCUCAGGUGUGUUUACAACGUUCACACGACACAGCCCACGGCUGAUCCAGGGGACCAGCACGGGGAAACUAAGCGGCUAGUGAAAAUGGACAAAGACGCACUUGACCUAGCAAGUUAAAGACUUACAAAAGGAUAAUGAGCAAGUGGCAGUGCGGUCGGUGGACCUUCCAGGUGACUUUUAUAGGCUGUCUGCUCCAGUCUCUCUCAACUGCUCCAUCAUGGAUGCCUGCUGAAGUCCCGCCCACCAACCACAUAGCUGGAACUCUGGCUGCUCCCAGGUCUAGCACAGGAAACACUCAAACAGGACUGAAAUCACCCUGUGUUUCCUCUCUUGGUUGAUGGCACUUUCCUCCAUGCAAAAUUAGACCUCGUUUUUUCUUCCUUAACCUAGUCCCUCGAGCUUGCGUUUGGUCCCCACCCCCCUGACCUGCAUGUGCUCAGAGGUUCAAGAUUAAGUGAUGUGAAGCUUCGCCACCUCACAAUUGUC
Molecule: long non-coding RNA, 1002 nt
Filed under: Mus pahari (shrew mouse)
Lineage: Eukaryota; Metazoa; Chordata; Mammalia; Rodentia; Muridae
Description: lncRNA (MGP_PahariEiJ_G0003003.1)
Source: RNAcentral